Molecule: ribosomal RNA, 467 nt
Filed under: uncultured bacterium
Lineage: Bacteria
Description: bacterial SSU rRNA
Rfam family: Bacterial small subunit ribosomal RNA
Source: RNAcentral
GCCAGACUCCUACGGGAGGCAGCAGUGAGGAAUAUUGGUCAAUGGGCGAGAGCCUGAACCAGCCAAGUCGCGUGAGGGAGUACUGCCCUAUGGGUUGUAAACCUCUUUUGUCGGGGAGCAAAAGCCGGACGUGUCCGGCUGUGAGAGUACCCGAAGAAAAAGCAUCGGCUAACUACGUGCCAGCAGCCGCGGUAAUACGUAGGGUGCAAGCGUUAUCCGGAUUUAUUGGGCGUAAAGGGCUCGUAGGCGGUUCGUCGCGUCCGGUGUGAAAGUCCAUCGCUUAACGGUGGAUCCGCGCCGGGUACGGGCGGGCUUGAGUGCGGUAGGGGAGACUGGAAUUCCCGGUGUAACGGUGGAAUGUGUAGAUAUCGGGAAGAACACCAAUGGCGAAGGCAGGUCUCUGGGCCGUUACUGACGCUGAGGAGCGAAAGCGUGGGGAGCGAACAGGAUUAGAUACCCCGGUAGAG